RNAcentral lists this unclassified non-coding RNA (329 nucleotides) under soil metagenome. RNAcentral's name for it is "partial contains 5.8S ribosomal RNA, internal transcribed spacer 2, and large subunit ribosomal RNA". The stretch from base 1 to 120 matches the Rfam family "5.8S ribosomal RNA", at positions 35 to 154 of the family's 154-position model. The record is from RNAcentral.
GAUGAAGAACGCAGCGAAAUGCGAUACGUAAUGUGAAUUGCAGAAUUCAGUGAAUCAUCGAAUCUUUGAACGCACAUUGCGCCCCUUGGUAUCCCGAGGGGCAUGCCUGUUCGAUCGUCAUUUCACCACUCAAGCCUGGCUUGGUGUUGGGCGACGUCCCCUUUGGGGACGCGCCUCGAAACGCUCGGCGGCGUGGCACCGGCUUUAAGCGUAGCAGAAUCUUUCGCUUUGGAAGUCGGGGCCCCGUCUGCCGGAAGACCUACUCGCAAGGUUGACCUCGGAUCAGGCAGGGAUACCCGCUGAACUUAAGCAUAUCAAUAAGCGGAGGA